AGAGUAUGAUCUGGCUCAGAACGUACGCUGGCGGCACGCCUUAUACAUGCAAGUCGAACGAAGUAGCAAUACUUAGUGGCAGACGGGUGAGUAACAUGUGGGUAUCUUCCCUUUGGUGAGGAAUAACACGAGGAAACUUGUGCUAAUACCUCAUAAGUCUUUACGGAGAAAGCUUUAUGCGCCAAUGGAUGAGCCCGCACUUGAUUAGUUUGUUGGUGGGGUAAUGGCCUACCAAGACUUUGAUCAAUAGCUGAUCUGAGAGGAUGAUCAGCCACAUUGGGACUGAGACACGGCCCAAACUCCUACGGGAGGCAGCAGUAGGGAAUAUUGCACAAUGGAGGAAACUCUGAUGCAGCGAUGCCGCGUGAGUGAAGAAGGCCUUUGGGUUGUAAAGCUCUUUCGUCGGGGAAGAAAAUGACGGUACCCGAAUAAGAAGGUCCGGCUAACUUCGUGCCAGCAGCCGCGGUAAUACGAAGGGACCUAGCGUAGUUCGGAAUUACUGGGCUUAAAGAGUUCGUAGGUGGUUAAAAAAGUUGGUUGUGAAAUCCCGAAGCUUAACUUCGGAACUGCAAUCAAAACUUUUUAGCUAGAGUAUGAUAG
This 600-nucleotide ribosomal RNA is filed under the name uncultured marine bacterium. RNAcentral's name for it is "bacterial SSU rRNA". It matches the Rfam family "Bacterial small subunit ribosomal RNA", at positions 8 to 654 of the family's 1533-position model. The record is from RNAcentral.